RNAcentral lists this long non-coding RNA (643 nucleotides) under Theropithecus gelada (gelada). RNAcentral describes it as "lncRNA (ENSTGEG00000012186.1)". The record is from RNAcentral. Lineage: Eukaryota; Metazoa; Chordata; Mammalia; Primates; Cercopithecidae.
CCAGCAGGCUUGGGUCCAAGGCCACCUCUGUGUCCCCGGCCCUCAGCGCUGGAAUCCCGUGGGUGGCUUCUGUGAAAAACUCCUACUGAGUGACCGCUGGGCGUGGAGUGACGUGAGUGGGCUCCAGCACCGGCCGCUGGAUGGGGUGGCGCUGCCCUCGCCGCACUGGGAGUGGGAGUCUGACUGGUACGUGGAUGAAAAUUUUGGAGGCGAACCCACCGAGAAAGGGGGGUGGACGUACGCCAUCGACUUUCCCGCCACCUACACGAGAGACAAGAAGUGGAAUUCUUGUGUGCGGCGCCGAAAAUGGAUCCGGUACAGGAGAUACAAGUCCCGGGACAUCUGGGCCAAGAUCCCCUCGAAGGACGACCCCAAGGAGCUGCCCGACCCCUUCAACGACCUCUCUGUAGGGGGCUGGGAGAUCACAGAGGAGCCUGUGGGCCGCCUGUCAGUGUGGGCUGUGUCUCUGCAGGGCAAGGUAAGGCCAACCCCUCUCGCUGCCCCAGUUCCCCACAACCCCACCUCCGUGGGUCCUGUCCUGUGCACCCCCUGGGUCUUGCUCCUCCCAGGAGCCCCGGCCCCCCGACCCCAUGCCUGCUCCUGGCCUUUCUCUCCGAGACCCCAGCAUGCUGAUCAGUGCCCA